AUUGAACGCUGGCGGCAGGCCUAACACAUGCAAGUCGAGCGAGUGGCGGACGGGUGAGUAAUGUCUGGGAAACUGCCCGAUGGAGGGGGAUAACUACUGGAAACGGUAGCUAAUACCGCAUACCAUCGGAUGUGCCCAGAUGGGAUUAGCUAGUAGGUGGGGUAACGGCUCACCUAGGCGACGAUCCCUAGCUGGUCUGAGAGGAUGACCAUCCACACGGGAACUGAGACACGGCCCAGACUCCUACGGGAGGCAGCAGUGGGGAAUAUUGCACAAUGGGCGCAAGCCUGAUGCAGCCAUGCCGCGUGUAUGAAGAAGGCCUUAGGGUUGUAAAGUACUUUCAGCGGGGAGGCGUUACUCGCAGAAGAAGCACCGGCUAACUCCGUGCCAGCAGCCGCGGUAAUAC
RNAcentral lists this ribosomal RNA (406 nucleotides) under uncultured bacterium. RNAcentral's name for it is "partial 16S ribosomal RNA". It matches the Rfam family "Bacterial small subunit ribosomal RNA", at positions 30 to 526 of the family's 1533-position model. The record is from RNAcentral.